UACGUAGGGGGCUAGCGUUGUCCGGAAUCAUUGGGCGUAAAGAGCGUGUAGGCGGCCCGAUAAGUCCGCCGUGAAAGUCCAGGGCUCAACCCUGGAAUGCCGGUGGAAACUGUCGGGCUGGAGUCCGGAAGAGGCGAGUGGAAUUCCUGGUGUAGCGGUGAAAUGCGUAGAUAUCAAGAGGAACACCUGCGGCGAAGGCGGGUUGCUGGGCCGACACUGACGCUGAGGCGCGAAAGCUAGGGGAGCGAACGGG
This 253-nucleotide ribosomal RNA is filed under the name uncultured bacterium. Its description in RNAcentral is "partial 16S ribosomal RNA". It matches the Rfam family "Bacterial small subunit ribosomal RNA", at positions 524 to 776 of the family's 1533-position model. The record is from RNAcentral.